GUCNGGAUUUAUUGGGCGUAAAGCGAGCGCAGGCGGUUAGAUAAGUNUGAAGUUAAAGGCUGUGGCUUAACCAUAGUACGCUUUGGAAACUGUUUAACUUGAGUGCAGAAGGGGAGAGUGGAAUUCCAUGUGUAGCGGUGAAAUGCGUAGAUAUAUGGAGGAACACCGGUGGCGAAAGCGGCUCUCUGGUCUGUAACUGACGCUGAGGCUNGAAAGCGUGGGGAGCGAACAGGAUUAGAUACCCUGGUAGUCCACGCCGUAAACGAUGAGUGCUAGGUGUUAGGCCCUUUCCGGGGCUUAGUGCCGCAGCUAACGCAUUAAGCACUCCGCCUGGGGAGUACGACCGCAAGGUUGAAACUCAAAGGAAUUGACGGGGGCCCGCACAAGCGGUGGAGCAUGUGGUUUAAUUCGAAGCAACGCGAAGAACCUUACCAGGUCUUGACAUCCCGAUGCCCGCUCUAGAGAUAGAGUUUUACUUCGGUACAUCGGUGACAGGUGGUGCAUGGUUGUCGUCAGCUCGUGUCGUGAGAUGUUGGGUUAAGUCCCGCAACGAGCGCAACCCUUAUUGUUAGUUGCCAUCAUUCAGUUGGGCACUCUAGCGAGACUGCCGGUAAUAAACCGGAGGAAGGUGGGGAUGACGUCAAAUCAUCAUGCCCCUUAUGACCUGGGCUACACACGUGCUACAAUGGCUGGUACAACGAGUCGCAAGUCGGUGACGGCAAGCUAAUCUCUUAAAGCCAGUCUCAGUUCGGACUGUAGGCUGCAACUCGCCUACAUGAAGUCGGAAUCGCUAGUAAUCGCGGAUCAGCACGCCGCGGUGAAUACGUUCCCGGGCCUUGUACACACCGCCCGUCACACCACGAGAGUUUGUAACACCCGAAGUCGGUGAGGUANCCUUUUAGGAGCCAGCC
This 911-nucleotide ribosomal RNA is filed under the name uncultured bacterium. Its description in RNAcentral is "bacterial SSU rRNA". It matches the Rfam family "Bacterial small subunit ribosomal RNA", at positions 543 to 1454 of the family's 1533-position model. The record is from RNAcentral.